This is a long non-coding RNA of Xenopus laevis (African clawed frog), 1376 nucleotides long. RefSeq lists it as uncharacterized. The record is from RefSeq and is a predicted model, not a curated record. NCBI's taxonomy places the organism in Eukaryota, Metazoa, Chordata, Amphibia, Anura, Pipidae. The transcript has 4 exons.
UACAGCUCCCAAGUGGAUCAAGAUGUUUGUUUUAGAUGAGGCAGAUGAAAUGUUGAGACGUGGGUCCAAGGAUCUGAUCUAUGAAAUGUACCAGAAGUUGCGCGCAAGCAUUCAGGAAUGAAGCUGGACACACUCUGACUUGUAUGAAACAUUAACACGUACACAGGCUGUCAUUUUCCUUAAUACUAGAAGAAAAGCUGACUGGCUUACGGAGUGCAUGCAAGAGACUUUACUGUCUCUGCUCUGCAUGGUGACCUGGACCAGAAAGAUGUUGUUUUUGUUCUGGAUCUAGUCGUGUAUUAAUCACCACAGACUUGUUGAUGUGUGAACAUAUAAUUCAAAGUCUGCACUAAGUUAUGACUUCCUGAAAUAGGUGAGCCAUAAAUGUGUGUAAAGCUCUGUUUGGUUGAAAAGACACUGCAGCAAUGACCUUCUUUCUGUGUCAACUGGUUGACCUGAAGCUCCUUUUCCAAAGACUUAAAACUUUCAUGAUGGUUCCUCCUACCAGUCAGGGAAAAAAGUCCUUUGGUAUAUAAAGACCCACAUUCCACAGUGGAUUACAAUGUUGUACUCCACCACUAUAUUGUGGCUGACAAAUCUGCUUUCCUCUCCAUAAGUGAGCAUGAAAAAUUGGUUGGUGUGUUAUCUUUAAAUUGGUUAUAUCUCUAAUAAUUGCAUUUACCAAGGCUACACUUAUUUUAAAUGGAAGCUAUUUUCUCCAUUCUCAGGCUCGUGGCAGCAAGUUAUGACCUACCGACCAAUCGUAAAAACUAUAUUCACAGAAUUGGCCGUGGAGGUUGAUUUUGGAAGGAAAGGUAUGGCAAUUUGUUACAGAAGAGGACAAGCAGAUUCUCCGUGAUAUUGAGACUUUGUACAAUUCUACGGUGCAGGCGAUGCCAAUGAAUGUGGUUGACAUUUGAUGGGAGGAGAUUGCUGAAUAGGCGAAUCACAACAUGCGUUGUGCUUUCUUUGGAUACUGAAACGGUUUCUUUUUUUUUUUUUUUAUAAAGCGAAGCCGCAUGCUCUGGAAGGAAGACUGUUUAUUUUUAUUCUCUCCAGAAUUUAGAAUGUUGGCGUGGCUUGUAAAGCAAUGGGGUCUUUGCAUUUUCUUUUAAUUAGACAUUUCUUAGUUCAAUAGAAGUGGUGGUCUUAUCAUUUAAUAACUUGCUUAUGGACUAAGAUAAGUGCUGUAUAAAGUCAGCCAAUUAUGUUCAACUUUAUCAUAUAGAACUUUAUUGUACAUUUCAGCUUUAGAACUAUACUAUAUUUUUAUGUAGUAAAGUGUUGAGAUCCUGGAAGCCCAACAAUCUGUCUUGUGUUGAUUGUAAAGUUGUUAUUGCACAUGUCGAGUUAAUAAACUGGUUAUUUGCACUGGA